AAAGGGGAGAKUCACCGUCAGCGACGUCGGCUUUUCGACGGUCCGUCWCGGCAWCUCGCUCGGGUGUCCCGKUGCGUCGUCGYGCGUCGUCCGUUGUGCGCGCGCGUUCCGCGCGCGCGAUCUAUGUCCGGCGGCGUCGGCGUGCACUUCUGCCCCAGUAGGACGUCGCGACCCGUUGGGUGUCGGUCUACGGCCCGGAUCGUCGCCUGUCCCGCCGCUUCGCGGUGUCGCGGGGCAGACAUCCGCUGCACCUACCCGACCGGCUGCCCGGCGGUAUAAAAUCGACGGUACUCUGGCCGCAACUAACAAGUGCGUCCUUCGAUAMAGGCUCGCCGCAAGCGCGGUCAGUGCAUUUCCGGUGGCUUUCUCGGACGAACUGUGCCGUCCCCGGGCCUGACCCGCUGUUCGCCGGCAAUGUCCUCGGACAGACCCUGCGCGCACCCGCAUAU
This 449-nucleotide ribosomal RNA is filed under the name Szepligetella sp. 233. RNAcentral describes it as "eukaryotic LSU rRNA". The record is from RNAcentral. Lineage: Eukaryota; Metazoa; Arthropoda; Insecta; Hymenoptera; Evaniidae.